Small nuclear RNA from Carlito syrichta (Philippine tarsier), 112 nucleotides. The record is from Ensembl. Lineage: Eukaryota; Metazoa; Chordata; Mammalia; Primates; Tarsiidae.
GUACUUUGCUAACUUUCAUAAGACAUAUACUAAAAUUGAGACAAUACAGAGAAGAUUAGCAUAGCCUCUGCUCAAGGAUGACACACAAACUAAUGAAGUACUUUAUAUUUUU